This 254-nucleotide ribosomal RNA is filed under the name uncultured bacterium. RNAcentral's name for it is "partial 16S ribosomal RNA". It matches the Rfam family "Bacterial small subunit ribosomal RNA", at positions 524 to 776 of the family's 1533-position model. The record is from RNAcentral.
UACGUAGGGUGCGAGCGUUGUCCGGAAUUAUUGGGCGUAAAGAGCUCGUAGGCGGUCUGUCGCGUCGGUCGUGAAAACUUGGGGCUUAACCCUGAGCUUGCGGUCGAUACGGGCAUGACUGGAGUUCGGUAGGGGAGACUGGAAUUCCUGGUGUAGCGGUGGAAUGCGUAGAUAUCUGGAGGAACACCGGUGGCGAAGGCGGCAUCCUGGACCGGUAUUGACGCUGAGGCGCGAAAGCUAGGGGAGCAAACGGG